UUGUAGGUAUUGGCCUGUGCUCCAUGCAGUCGAGCGCUCACUUCGGUGGGAGCGGCGGACGGGUUAGUAACGCGUGGGAAUAUGCCCAAAGGUAGGGAAUAGCCACUGGAAACGGUGAGUAAUACCCUAUGUGCCCUUCGGGGGAAAGAUUUAUCGCCUUUGGAUUAGCCCGCGUAAGAUUAGAUAGUUGGUGGGGUAAUGGCCUACCAAGUCUACGAUCUUUAGCUGGUUUUAGAGGAUGAUCAGCAACACUGGGACUGAGACACGGCCCAGACUCCUACGGGAGGCAGCAGUGGGGAAUCUUAGACAAUGGGCGCAAGCCUGAUCUAGCCAUGCCGCGUGAGUGAUGAAGGCCUUAGGGUCGUAAAGCUCUUUCCCCAGAGAUGAUAAUGACAGUAUCUGGUAAAGAAACCCCGGCUAACUCCGUGCCAGCAGCCGCGGUAAUACGGAGGGGGUUAGCGUUGUUCGGAAUUACUGGGCGUAAAGCGUAC
Molecule: ribosomal RNA, 491 nt
Filed under: bacterium ED576
Lineage: Bacteria
Description: bacterial SSU rRNA
Rfam family: Bacterial small subunit ribosomal RNA
Source: RNAcentral